RNAcentral lists this unclassified non-coding RNA (496 nucleotides) under uncultured Helicosporium. Its description in RNAcentral is "sequence contains ITS1, 5.8S rRNA gene, ITS2". The stretch from base 190 to 343 matches the Rfam family "5.8S ribosomal RNA". The record is from RNAcentral. Lineage: Eukaryota; Fungi; Ascomycota; Dothideomycetes; Tubeufiales; Tubeufiaceae.
AAGGAUCAUUACCGAGUACCGGGUCCUCUGGGCCCUUACUCCCACCCUUUGUGUAUCUUACCUUUAUUUCUUGUUGCCUUGGCGGGUCUAGGGGGAGACCCCGGGGGCCUCACGGCCCCGCCCGCCAGGGGGACAGCCCUUAAACUCUUUGUUAACCGGGUCGUCUGAGAAAACAAACAAAUGAAUUAAAACUUUCAACAACGGAUCUCUUGGUUCUGGCAUCGAUGAAGAACGCAGCGAAAUGCGAUAAGUAAUGUGAAUUGCAGAAUUCAGUGAAUCAUCGAAUCUUUGAACGCACAUUGCGCCCCUUGGUAUUCCGAGGGGCAUGCCUGUUCGAGCGUCAUUUCAAACCCUCAAGCUUCUGCUUGGUGUUGGGUCCUCGUCCCUAACAGGACGUACCCGAAACUCGUAGGCGGUGGCGCCCAGCUCCUCAGCGUAGUUAUACAUUCCGCUCCGGAUCGUUGGGUGUUGCCCGCCGAACAACCACACUUUUUUC